CGUAAUAGCUCACUGGUCGAGUCGGCCUGCGCGGAAGAUGUAACGGGGCUAAACCAUGCACCGAAGCUGCGGCAGCGACGCUUAUGCGUUGUUGGGUAGGGGAGCGUUCUGUAAGCCUGUGAAGGUGUGUCGUGAGGCAUGCUGGAGGUAUCAGAAGUGCGAAUGCUGACAUAAGUAACGAUAAAGCGGGUGAAAAGCCCGCUCGCCGGAAGACCAAGGGUUCCUGUCCAACGUUAAUCGGGGCAGGGUGAGUCGACCCCUAAGGC
RNAcentral lists this ribosomal RNA (266 nucleotides) under Salmonella enterica subsp. enterica serovar Paratyphi B var. L(+) tartrate +. RNAcentral's name for it is "partial 23S ribosomal RNA". It matches the Rfam family "Bacterial large subunit ribosomal RNA", at positions 1133 to 1397 of the family's 2925-position model. The record is from RNAcentral. Lineage: Bacteria; Pseudomonadati; Pseudomonadota; Gammaproteobacteria; Enterobacterales; Enterobacteriaceae.